CCUUGACAAACCUAAAUCCCCCAAACUUACUGGCGUUGCAUCGGUUGCAUCUGAAAAAUCAAAUUGUAAGGUGCAAAUUGAUACCCUGGAAGAGUUCCUCUAAGCAGAUUUUGCUCCUGUAGUUUUUGUCCAUAUGAUGAUAUUCCACAUAAAGGGGCCAUCAACAAAUUGCCAUUUGCUUGGCUGAAAACACCAGCUGCUCCUCCGCCUUCAUUUUGUGGUUUCCAGUCUAUUAAUCCUUUGGCCAUGCCAACCAUUUUUUGUUGUGGCUGUGAUUGUAGACUUGUGGUAGAAUGAUCUGGGGAUGAUUUCUUCUCAUCAGGUGAAGGAGACUUGGUGUCUGGAAGAUUGACGGUAGUGAUAUCAUGGAUGCUGGACCUUCUCUUAUCCUUCCCUCCUGUGCUCUGCCUGAUAAAAUACUUCU
Molecule: unclassified non-coding RNA, 424 nt
Filed under: Hevea brasiliensis (rubber tree)
Lineage: Eukaryota; Viridiplantae; Streptophyta; Magnoliopsida; Malpighiales; Euphorbiaceae
Source: RNAcentral